Molecule: long non-coding RNA, 840 nt
Organism: Triticum dicoccoides
Lineage: Eukaryota; Viridiplantae; Streptophyta; Magnoliopsida; Poales; Poaceae
Exons: 4
Source: RefSeq, a predicted model, not a curated record
AACACACCCGUCCACUCCCCAAUCCCCCUCCCCCUCUCUCUACCCGAUUGCACCGUUGCCCCCGACCUAAACCUAACUCAACUGCGCCACCGCCCCUGAUCUGCGUGCCGCCGCCCGUCCUCUGGUCCCCUCGUGCCACAUCAUCUCCGACCCUGGCCUCCCUCCCCGCAGGGCACCAUCCGCCCGGGAGCAGCAGCUCCGUCCGCCACGCCGAGGAGCAGCAGCGCCGUCAACCGCCGCUGAGGAUCCACUGCUGAUUUGUCUCCACGUGCGACCUCUGUUUCAUCUGAUUUCCUUCGCUCCGCCCCGCCUACAGAAUUCAAGAUGUAAGCUUCUGGUGGUGGAGGCAAGUCAAGAUUUUACGCCGGUUCUGUUACAGGAACAGAGGAUAGUCCUCCUAAGCUGCUUAAUGGUAGAGUUGGAAUCCCUCUAGUCCAGCUCCAGGCAGGAGGUCGGUUGGAACUGGAUCAGUAUCGAGAUUAGGAAUCAACCAAGUCGCCCUUUUGAUCAACUACAACAGCAGAACAAACAAUGGUGGGAAAAUGGUAGAAAGUAGCAAGUCCACUAGUUGAUCGAAGAUGUAUCUUGAUAAUAUGGAUGACACAUUUUGUUCAUAUGGAAGUUGAUUUGGCUUGGCGAUUGAAGAUUUGGUCCCUUGGUCUCUUUUGAACUUUGGCCAUUAUGUUUGUAACAUGCCUCUCUUGUAUAUCCGACUUGUGUAUUUCCAUAAUGGUUGUAGCUAACUUGAGUGAAGAAAACUAUUGAAUCUUAUAUAGAUAUUAAAAUUAAUGCAUUGAUCAAUGAUAUCUUGUGAUGAAUAGAAGAGUUCAAUUGUUUGUA